Molecule: ribosomal RNA, 292 nt
Filed under: uncultured Oscillospiraceae bacterium
Lineage: Bacteria; Bacillati; Bacillota; Clostridia; Eubacteriales; Oscillospiraceae
Description: partial 16S ribosomal RNA
Rfam family: Bacterial small subunit ribosomal RNA
Source: RNAcentral
UGGGGAAUAUUGGGCAAUGGGCGAAAGCCUGACCCAGCGACGCCGCGUGAGGGAAGAAGGUCUUCGGAUUGUAAACCUUUGUAGACAGGGAAGAAGAAAGUGACGGUACCUGUAAAGUAAGCCACGGCUAACUACGUGCCAGCAGCCGCGGUAAUACGUAGGUGGCAAGCGUUAUCCGGAUUUACUGGGUGUAAAGGGUGUGUAGGCGGGAAAGUGGGUCAGAUGUGAAAUACCAAGGCUAAACCAUGGAGCUGCAUUUGAAACUGCUUUUCUUGAGAGUGGGAGGAGGUAA